This 149-nucleotide non-coding RNA is filed under the name uncultured Odoribacter sp. The record is from RNAcentral. Lineage: Bacteria; Pseudomonadati; Bacteroidota; Bacteroidia; Bacteroidales; Odoribacteraceae.
GUUUGUAUGCUUAAUAGGGAAAUCCGUGGAAAUCGGAUACUGUUCCCGCAGCUGUAAUCUCGAAUAUGGUUUUAACGAUUAUGCCACUGUUUGAAAAGAAUGGGAAGGCGUUGAAACAGAGAGAGUCAGAAGACCUGCCAAUGUAUUUA